GCAAAACGGGGAUUAGAUACCCCGGUAGUCCAGGGUGUAAACGCUGCAGACUUGGUGUUGGGGGCCCUACGGGGGCGUUCAGUGCCGGAGAGAAGUUGUUAAGUCUGCUACUUGGGGAGUACGUCCGCAAGGAUGAAACUUAAAGGAAUUGGCGGGGGAGCACCGCAACGGGAGGAGCGUGCGGUUUAAUUGGAUUCAACACCGGAAAACUCACCAAGGGCGACUAUCACAUGAAAGCCAGGCUAACGACCUUGCUUGAUUCUUAGAGAGGUGGUGCAUGGCCGUCGUCAGUUCGUACCGUAAGGCGUUCUCUUAAGUGAG
Molecule: ribosomal RNA, 321 nt
Filed under: uncultured Methanomassiliicoccales archaeon
Lineage: Archaea; Methanobacteriati; Thermoplasmatota; Thermoplasmata; Methanomassiliicoccales
Description: bacterial SSU rRNA
Rfam family: Archaeal small subunit ribosomal RNA
Source: RNAcentral